GAUGAACGCUGGCGGCGUGCCUAAUACAUGCAAGUCGAGCGAACAGAUGAGGAGCUUGCUCCUCUGACGUUAGCGGCGGACGGGUGAGUAACACGUGGAUAACCUACCUAUAAGACUGGGAUAACUUCGGGAAACCGGAGCUAAUACCGGAUAAUAUAUUGAACCGCAUGGUUCAAUAGUGAAAGACGGUUUUGCUGUCACUUAUAGAUGGAUCCGCGCCGCAUUAGCUAGUUGGUAAGGUAACGGCUUACCAAGGCAACGAUGCGUAGCCGACCUGAGGGGGUGAUCGGCCACACUGGAACUGAGACACGGUCCAGACUCCUACGGGAGGCAGCAGUAGGGAAUAUUCCGCAAUGGGCGAAAGCCUGACGGAGCAAAGCCGCGUGAGUGAUGAAGGUCUUCGGAUCGUAAAACUCUGUUAUUAGGGAAGAACAAAUGUGUAAGUAACUAUGCACGUCUUGACGGUACCUAAACAGAAAGCCACGGCUAACUACGUG
This 497-nucleotide ribosomal RNA is filed under the name uncultured bacterium. Its description in RNAcentral is "partial 16S ribosomal RNA". It matches the Rfam family "Bacterial small subunit ribosomal RNA", at positions 28 to 507 of the family's 1533-position model. The record is from RNAcentral.